GCGUGUGUGAAGAAGGCCUGCGGGUUGUAAAGCACUUUCAGUAGGGAAGAUUAUGACGGUACCUACAGAAGAAGCACCGGCUAACUCUGUGCCAGCAGCCGCGGUAAUACAGAGGGUGCAAGCGUUAAUCGGAAUUACUGGGCGUAAAGCGCGCGUAGGCGGUUUGUUAAGUCGGAUGUGAAAUCCCCGGGCUCAACCUGGGAAUUGCAUUCGAUACUGGCAGGCUAGAGUAUGGUAGAGGGUAGCGGAAUUCCAGGUGUAGCGGCGAAAUGCGU
RNAcentral lists this ribosomal RNA (275 nucleotides) under uncultured bacterium. RNAcentral describes it as "partial 16S ribosomal RNA". It matches the Rfam family "Bacterial small subunit ribosomal RNA", at positions 399 to 691 of the family's 1533-position model. The record is from RNAcentral.